UACGUAGGGUGCAAGCGUUAAUCGGAAUUACUGGGCGUAAAGCGUGCGCAGGCGGUGAUGUAAGUCAGGUGUGAAAUCCCCGGGCUUAACCUGGGAACUGCAUUUGAGACUGCAUCGCUGGAGUGCGGCAGAGGGGGAUGGAAUUCCGCGUGUAGCAGUGAAAUGCGUAGAUAUGCGGAGGAACACCGAUGGCGAAGGCAAUCCCCUGGGCCUGCACUGACGCUCAUGCACGAAAGCGUGGGGAGCAAACAGG
Molecule: ribosomal RNA, 253 nt
Filed under: uncultured bacterium
Lineage: Bacteria
Description: partial 16S ribosomal RNA
Rfam family: Bacterial small subunit ribosomal RNA
Source: RNAcentral